UUAACUAUUAUAUAGUACUCAGACAUCACUAAACAAACGAGUUUGGGUCCUCUGGCAGGCGCGGUCAGCGUCAGCCGACGCCCGAAGGUCGGCGGCCUGCCAAAGCAACAAAGGUAUGUAUACACGGUUUGGGAAUAGGACCCAUUUCGAAAAACGGGGCAUUCUUUAAUGAUCCUUCCGCAGGUUCACCUACGGAAA
Molecule: unclassified non-coding RNA, 198 nt
Filed under: uncultured fungus
Lineage: Eukaryota; Fungi
Description: sequence contains ITS1
Source: RNAcentral